This is a long non-coding RNA of Armigeres subalbatus, 1614 nucleotides long. RefSeq lists it as uncharacterized. The transcript is spliced from 4 exons. The record is from RefSeq and is a predicted model, not a curated record. Lineage: Eukaryota; Metazoa; Arthropoda; Insecta; Diptera; Culicidae.
CGGCCAUGUUUGUUUUUUCGCUGUCAUGUUUCGUAUACGAUUGUCGAGCCUAUUUUUGUGAAUUUUUGAUUAAAUUAUUAAAUUUCAAAAUAUUAAUAGGUAUAAAUAUAAAUAUAACCAUUCCUACGAAGGCCGGAUCGGCGAUUGUUUUCUUCUAUCGGAUGCUUGAGUUGUGGAAUCCGGACCACACAAGUAAUAUACCAAGGAUACUGACUGAAAACCAUAAGCGAUUAUCACCAAUAAUGUACUCAAUCCAUCGCAUCGAUUAGCCCUGCUAAAACUUUCAUCCGUCGUCAUGCCGCGGCCGGCAUGCCGGUGUGCUCCGAACAUUCUGAUGCAUACCCGAUAUUCGUGCUAACUAACCACGACUAUACAGUCAACUUUCGCUCGUUGGGCUAAACUCGUAGCCCAUCUAGUGAAAGACUUUCGUUAGUUGGGCUGAGAUUUCAUCUGUCAAAUCAGCGAAUACAAUAGAAAUUCAGAGCUGCCAGUGGGCUACAGCCCAACUAACGGGCGCCCAACUAAAUCGUAGCCCGUCUAAAGAUAGCCCAACGAGUGAAAUUUGACUGUAUAUAGUGGAUUCCAAAAUAUAAUUUUUGAAGUUCCGUCGGCUAUCGAGAACCCGUUGGUAGUAUUCACCUUUUGGUAGUUUAUUUGAGGCAUCCGGAGGACGAAUCGGCUUCAGUGAAUUGCUUCUAGAAAAUGCUAGGAUAUAAGGCAAGCCUUACAGUAUCUCAAGACAAUCAGCAGUACCGGAUCGUCGGAAGAGUAUUUCUUCGAACCACAAGAUUCUGGUUCGAAAAAUGGCAAUUCACAGAAGGACUCAAACGACAACAUACAGUUCGGUGUCCUUCGGAGGGAAGCAUGUAAGGAACGAAUGGAACAGCAAGUAUCCGGAGGUAUAUGCAGAAUUGAUCAUAGAAGAGGUCGGCAUGUGAUUCAGUCACCGAAGACAAAUCCAAAUUAUCUUCACCGCGAUCCAGCUUCUCCGGUUCCCCUUAGACGUCGCACGUCGCUCAAAUCCCGAACCAGUUAAUCUAAAACAUAAAAAGCCAUCAAGCGUGAAAUUCAUCCGCAAUCGCAUCGGCUUUUGCAAGUGAAUAUCCGGACAUCAUCGAACGCAACAACGCUAGAUCAUCCAACGCCACAAAUUUCGGAAAUAAUCCUAUAAAGGAAAUCUCUAAAAUGAGCAGUCUCAAGGAGAACCAUGUUGAAGGACACCGGGUUUGAAUCAAGAUUACCUCGAUUUCUCAAGGCUGAAAAAAUGUACUAUCCACGUGUAUUGUGCGCAUGCAUGAAUUCUCGCUUAACUUUUCAAAAGGACCUAAGUAACAUUUUUUUCAUGAAUUAAUUUGAAUAGCGCAAUCAACAGAAAAACAUGAAAGCUUUCGAUUGCAAUACUCAAAUUAAUUCAUGAAAAAAAUGUUACUUAGGUCAUUUUGAAAAGUAUGGCGAGAAUUAUAAUACAACUCAGGAACCGCGUGGAGGUUUUUUUAAUCUUAAAAUUAAGUAACCAUCUAUGGAGGUGAUUAAUGUAUAUAAAAUUUUAAGAGUUGUUACAUUGACAAGAUGCAACAUCUUAAAAGUAUAAGUAGCCGAAUAUCUUGAAACAUC